RNAcentral lists this long non-coding RNA (214 nucleotides) under Hordeum vulgare. Its description in RNAcentral is "long non-coding RNA (HVUL_LNC001212)". Lineage: Eukaryota; Viridiplantae; Streptophyta; Magnoliopsida; Poales; Poaceae. The record is from RNAcentral.
CCAGCUUUUCCAGUCUGAGUCACUUCAUUAUAUAUCAUCAUUAUUGCCUUUCACUUGCACGAUCGAAUGAUGUGAACAAUAAUAAGCAUGGUCGUGCAAUGGACUAAGCUGAAUCUGCUGGCAAACACAAAGGAGAAGACAAAGUAAUAUGGCUCUUUGAAAGCUAAACAGGUAUGCAUGCAAGAGCCACUAAACAUUGUAACCAAUAUCUUCU